UAAACAAUAUACCUUGAGUAUUUUUUUGUUACCAAGAAUAACAUAACUUGUGAAAUCUCUAUCAAUUGUGCUUGCAGCAACUGUGAGCGUCCAAGGUUCCAAGUUGGAUACAGUACUAGGAACAGGUCCUGAAUUACCUCCAGAAGCCACAACAAUGAUGUUGUUGGCAACUGCAUGAAAAGAUCCUAUGGAAAUACUGUUUUGGGAAUAUUCUUGGGCUAAACCACCACUACCCAAAGACACCGAAAGCACAUCAACACCAUCACUUAUGGCAGCUUCAAAACCAGCCAAAAUGUCUGCAUCAUAACAUCCAUCCCAACAAACCUUAUAGGCUGCAACUCGUGCUUUUGGUGAUCCACCACUUGCUGUUCCAUUUCCAUUGCCAAAUACACUUGCAUUAGCAACGAAAUUUCCUCCAGCAGUUGAUAAAGUGUGUGAACCAUGACCUUCACUAUCCCGUGCACUAUGAAGCGAUACAUUUUUGGCUCUAUAAGGAUUUGCCAGAAAGCCUUUAAAAAAAUAUCUUGCUCCAAUAAGCUUUCUACAAAAUUGUAAUAAAAUUCAAAAUAGGAGCAUAUAGAAAUAUAUCAAAGACAAUUAAAUUGGUUUUAUUAUGUAUUAUAAUCCAAAUCAUGGUUAUAUACUAAGCUCAAUUUAAACUUGUAUAUCUUCUGAAGCUUAAACGUUU
This 688-nucleotide long non-coding RNA is filed under the name Medicago truncatula (barrel medic). Its description in RNAcentral is "lncRNA gene26057". Lineage: Eukaryota; Viridiplantae; Streptophyta; Magnoliopsida; Fabales; Fabaceae. The record is from RNAcentral.